AAAAGAAAAAUAAAAUAAAAUAAAGCUUGAAUACAAUCAUGAGAGAGCACAAUCAAGUUGGCUCUUUAACGUUAUUAUAACAAAUUUGUAAGAGAUUUUAAAGUUCCUAGUGUCCAAUAUAUAAGAGAAACAUAAAUGCACCCAAAAAGAAAAAGAGCAGCAGAAAAAUUGAGCAUAAUAAAUUGGCGAGUGGGUAGUGUAUGCAGUGAAUCAUAUACAAUGAUCAUUAUCUACAGUGAAUCAUAUCUAUUUAUAAGCUUGCAUUUAUUGCUUGAACAACAUAACAAACAAAUAAAUAAGAGGAUGGAGCAUUCACCUUGAACGUUGAAAGGUUAGCUAUGAUUUUACUAAAAGCUUGAGCAUUUUGUUCCAAGAGAUGCCUGGAUGUACCACUUAUUCCAUCAAAAGACAAGGGUUCGCCGUGGUCUACAUGGUGCAUCAUUAGAGGAUACACAGGUAUGCUCUGUGGCACAGCUGAAGAUAUAUUCAUCUUUGGUGAUGAUUCCACCAGCUUAUCCUUCCUAUUAUUGACCUUCUUUCCCAAAUUAUAUUCCUCUGCUUUCCUUCGCUUUCUCGUCAUCCACCUACACCUCAAUGCAACAUCACGUACAGUUUUAUCAGGCAAGGUGGCUGCAAUCUUUAUGUAUCUCA
RNAcentral lists this unclassified non-coding RNA (651 nucleotides) under Hevea brasiliensis (rubber tree). Lineage: Eukaryota; Viridiplantae; Streptophyta; Magnoliopsida; Malpighiales; Euphorbiaceae. The record is from RNAcentral.